This is a long non-coding RNA of Taeniopygia guttata (zebra finch), 452 nucleotides long. RefSeq lists it as uncharacterized. Lineage: Eukaryota; Metazoa; Chordata; Aves; Passeriformes; Estrildidae. The record is from RefSeq and is a predicted model, not a curated record.
GCACCUACAAUCCAAAAGGCAGAGUAACAUACUCAUCAACUGCAACUGAAACUGUUGUAUGCUACAUAAACGUCUAUGAAUGCCUGGCAUUGGCUUUUAAUCUCUCAAAUUCUGUUACAAAAGUGGCAAAAGAGGUUUUGGAUGAAGAGAACUCUAUAAAGUCUAUCUUCUGGAUAGGUCAACACAAGCAUCUGGAUAACAACUACUUGAUAUAAAUACACCAAACCAUACCACUUAUUUGGAAAACCAUGUGGCUACUCAGCUUGACCAUUUUUAUUUUGAUCCCAUAUGGAAUAUUGAAAUAAAAUGUAAACUUGCCCAAUUUGAGGCUGAGUCCUAUUUUGGGUCGAUGCUCCUCCAGUUGUUGUUGUUCAGGUGAAUUUUCAUGAGGGAUAAUAAUGCCACAGGGAGAUUCAUCACCAGGUGUGUUAGGAGUUGCGUUUCCACUAGCU